Molecule: long non-coding RNA, 276 nt
Filed under: Lathyrus oleraceus (garden pea)
Lineage: Eukaryota; Viridiplantae; Streptophyta; Magnoliopsida; Fabales; Fabaceae
Description: Pisum sativum (pea) long non-coding RNA (PSAT_LNC027642)
Source: RNAcentral
UUUUUAUUUGUUUUAUUUUCUAAAUUGAUUUUUAAUAAGCAUUUUCUUACAAAAUUUACUAUAAUUUUAUUUUUAAUCCAAAAAUUAUGGGACCAACACCAAAAUUUCACCAAAAAAAUCCUAUUCCCGUUCUUGAUUUUAAAUUAAUUUUUGGAUUGAGGUUGAUAUUUUUAGUGAAUUUUGUGGUUUUUGCUUGUUGUUUUCAACUUAGACUUGAUAUAAUGAGUAGAAACCUUGGUCUUAUGCCAUUGAUUUUUCAAAUUAUUUUCUUAAUCA